AUCGGUGUAGCUCAUUGGCAGAGCGGUGGUCUCCAAAACCACGCGUACGGGGUUCGAUUCCUCGCACCGGUGCCA
This 75-nucleotide transfer RNA is filed under the name Gordonia phage Phendrix. RNAcentral's name for it is "tRNA-Trp". It matches the Rfam family "tRNA". Rfam says of the family: Transfer RNA (tRNA) molecules are approximately 80 nucleotides in length. Lineage: Duplodnaviria; Heunggongvirae; Uroviricota; Caudoviricetes. The record is from RNAcentral.